UACGUAGGGUGCGAGCGUUAAUCGGAAUUACUGGGCGUAAAGCGUGCGCAGGCGGUUCGUUAAGUCAGAUGUGAAAGCCCCGGGCUCAACCUGGGAACUGCAUUUGAAACUGGCGGGCUUGAGUGCGGCAGAGGAGACUGGAAUUCCUGGUGUAGCAGUGAAAUGCGUAGAUAUCAGGAGGAACACCGAUGGCGAAGGCAGGUCUCUGGGCUGACACUGACGCUCAUGCACGAAAGCGUGGGGAGCAAACAGG
RNAcentral lists this ribosomal RNA (253 nucleotides) under uncultured bacterium. Its description in RNAcentral is "partial 16S ribosomal RNA". It matches the Rfam family "Bacterial small subunit ribosomal RNA", at positions 524 to 776 of the family's 1533-position model. The record is from RNAcentral.